GGCCCGGCUCUUGCUAUCGGAUAAGCAUCGGUAACCAACGGCGGUUGCCCCACCCACGACAAAGACGUCGC
Molecule: non-coding RNA, 71 nt
Organism: Pseudomonas sp. ABAC61
Lineage: Bacteria; Pseudomonadati; Pseudomonadota; Gammaproteobacteria; Pseudomonadales; Pseudomonadaceae
Source: Rfam